AGCGAACGCUGGCGGCAGGCCUAACACAUGCAAGUCGAACGAACCUUUCGGGGUUAGUGGCGGACGGGUGAGUAACACGUGGGAACGUGCCUUUAGGUUCGGAAUAACUCAGUGAAACUUGGGCUAAUACCGAAUGUGCCCUUCGGGUGAAAGAUUAAUCGCCUUUAGAGCGGCCCGCGUCUGAUUAGCUAGUUGGUUGAGGUAAUGGCUCACCAAGGCGACGAUCAGUAGCUGGUCUGAGAGGAUGAUCAGCCACAUUGGGACUGAGACACGGCCCAAACUCCUACGGGAGGCAGCAGUGGGGAAUCUUGCGCAAUGGGCGAAAGCCUGACGCAGCCAUGCCGCGUGAAUGAUGAAGGUCUUAGGAUUGUAAAAUUCUUUCACUGGGGACGAUAAUGACGGUACCCGGAGAAGAAGCCCCGGCUAACUUCGUG
This 434-nucleotide ribosomal RNA is filed under the name uncultured bacterium. RNAcentral describes it as "partial 16S ribosomal RNA". It matches the Rfam family "Bacterial small subunit ribosomal RNA", at positions 29 to 507 of the family's 1533-position model. The record is from RNAcentral.